CCUGACCUGAGAGGCGUUACAGAUGUGACUGCUGCGUCACAUGUGUGUCAUUAGGUGGGCAGAGAGAAGAGGUUUGUCUACGUCCAGUGCUCCGACCUGGGAGCCAUUAGGUGAUUGAUAGUCUGACACU
Molecule: small nucleolar RNA, 130 nt
Filed under: Erinaceus europaeus (western European hedgehog)
Lineage: Eukaryota; Metazoa; Chordata; Mammalia; Eulipotyphla; Erinaceidae
Description: Small nucleolar RNA SNORA17 (ENSEEUG00000020893.1)
Rfam family: Small nucleolar RNA SNORA17
About the family: snoRNA ACA 17 belongs to the H/ACA family of snoRNAs and is predicted to guide pseudouridylation of the 28S rRNA at positions U4659 and U4598.
Source: RNAcentral